AUGCCGCCCAAGGCUCCCAAAGCACCCGUCACAUGCAACUGGGUUAGAUCCACCGUCACUGAUAGCAUCUUAAACGAUUUUGUGAAGACUGGUCAUCUGCCGAAGAAAGAGAUCAUGUCUUAUCGUGCUCCUGACCCGUCAGAAGAAAAGCCUCAACCCAAGGAUGGGGAAGUUGUCAUUUUUACUGAUCACAUGAACCGGGGCUUUGCUCCACCCGGCUCAAAAAUUUUCAGAGACGUCUUGCACUUUUUUGACCUGCGACCUCAAGACAUCGGACCCAAUUCCGUGUCAAACAUCUGCAAUUUCCAAGUAUUCUGGAGGUGUACCUUGGAGAAGAACCCAGCUUACUACUCUUUAGAGAGUUAUUUUAUCUGA
RNAcentral lists this ribosomal RNA (375 nucleotides) under Triticum aestivum (bread wheat). RNAcentral's name for it is "partial small subunit ribosomal RNA". The record is from RNAcentral. Lineage: Eukaryota; Viridiplantae; Streptophyta; Magnoliopsida; Poales; Poaceae.